GUUUCUGUGGUGUAGUGGUAUCACAUCCGCCUCAGAUGCGGAAGAUCCCAGAUUCGAACUCUACCAGAAGCG
Varroa destructor (honeybee mite) is the source of this 72-nucleotide non-coding RNA. Lineage: Eukaryota; Metazoa; Arthropoda; Arachnida; Mesostigmata; Varroidae. The record is from the annotation of a RefSeq genome assembly.